Drosophila kikkawai is the source of this 325-nucleotide non-coding RNA. Lineage: Eukaryota; Metazoa; Arthropoda; Insecta; Diptera; Drosophilidae. The record is from RefSeq and is a predicted model, not a curated record.
UCAGCCUACCAAAACUAAACCAAAUAUUUACGCUUAAAUACAACAAAAAACCAUAACCAAAAUAAUAAUAAAUCCAAAGCAGUAGAACGAAUCCAACCAGAACUCGAACAAAACCCGAAUCCGAGGCAGAUGCAAAAUGCAGAACGGGAACAAUCUGGCCAAAACAAGUGCAACAGACAACCGGCAAAUCGGGCCAACAGCUGCCUGGUCGGCUUCCUCCGUCCUCCGUCUUUCUGGCUUUUUAUUGGCGAACUGACAACGAAAACACUGAAAUUGUUUUUUAAGCUCGAUUUAAAUGCACAUAAAAAGCGAUAUUUUAUCUUAA